RNAcentral lists this long non-coding RNA (793 nucleotides) under Ananas comosus (pineapple). RNAcentral describes it as "long non-coding RNA (ACOM_LNC004725)". Lineage: Eukaryota; Viridiplantae; Streptophyta; Magnoliopsida; Poales; Bromeliaceae. The record is from RNAcentral.
ACAUUUGCAUACGCAUAAAUGACAAUAUAUUUAAGGGGCAAUUGCUUAUAUACCCCUGAAAAAUUUCCGACUUUCCGAUUUACUCCUCUUAGAAGACUAAUAUUGAAAAUGCUCUUUCUAUGUUCCAACCUAUUUCUAAUAUACCUCUAGAGUUAAAAUCCGUUAAUGAACUCUGUUAUCUCUGUAAAAUUACUAUUUUGUCCUUUCAAAUAUACUCUUCCACCAUCACCGACUUUCUUAUUUGCCUUUAAAUUCAGGGGCACAAAAAGUAUUUUGACUUUUGGUAUUUUUCAAUAUUCCCCUCUACCGUCACUAACAUUUCUUAUUUGCCCUUAAAUUGAGGGCAAAAUUGGUAUUUUAAUUUUUUUAACUGUCGUAAAUAUUUAACUCACGUUUAACCCAAGUUAACUUAACAGGAGAUAACUACGGAGGUAUUUUGCAAUAAUGGUGGAAUAUAUGAGGGGUAUUUUAAAAAGAAAAAAAAGUAUGGAUAAAUCGAAUAUUUUCAAACGUACGAGGGGUAUAUAGGCAAUUCUCCCUAUAUUUUUAAACUAGUACAGUGGUUGUUAUUCUCAGAUUGUCGACCUUCAAAUCAAGGAUUUGAUUUGAUAUGUAUGAGGGAUUUGAUAUAUUUAUUCUUUAGAAAAAAAAUGCUGGUCUUGCUGUGCCAAAGAGGUCCUGUAUGAAUAUAUGAAUAUCUUACUCGGUAUGUCUUUUUUGUAUUGAAAGUGCUUAAUGAAUGAACGAAGAGGACGACAAAACUUACAAUGACUAACUUAAAUUCGACCUUCAA